RNAcentral lists this ribosomal RNA (1878 nucleotides) under Triticum aestivum (bread wheat). RNAcentral describes it as "partial small subunit ribosomal RNA". Lineage: Eukaryota; Viridiplantae; Streptophyta; Magnoliopsida; Poales; Poaceae. The record is from RNAcentral.
AUGUUUUUACUAGCCCCAACCAGCCACGUGCCCCCUACCUUAUCUUCAAAAAGCUCUGUUGUCUUCUCCCAGCUAUUUUCCUCUCUUUCUCCGAGCUCUCAACCUUGCAGGAUGCAUGUUUCAUCUGUAGCCGCCCCAAGUCCUCAAGUCGCGUCCGCCGUCCCGGGAGAGCACUGGUAUCUACGUCCACCGUCACCCCGCGCUCCCGAGGAAGCACCGGCGUGGACAACCAUGCAUGUUUUGUUAUGCCUAGGUGUGGAACAUGCAGCUGGCAAUGCCAACAAUGAACAAGAUGGGAGCACUGACAGUGCCCCUAGUCCCUUGCUCUUGGGGGCAAAGCCAAAGAAAAGACUCACUUCCAAGUGCAGCCCUGCGAUUCAGACUCAGAAGAGGCAAAAGAAUCAGGAGGCUAUUCAGAAUGGGUCUCAUGAGGAACCUGCAGCGCCCGAGAAGAAGAAUCUAGCUUCGCCAGUUCUUUCAACCGAUCAGAAUAAGAAGAAUCAAGGGACCGAUCAGAACAUUUCUCGUGAAGAACUCGUCAUGACAUUUGCCAUGCACGGACACGCAACAAGGAUGGUGGAACAAGGUGACUUUUGGAAGCUUGUUGGUGACCUGAAUCCUGCGGUCAAGAUUCCAUCCCGCUUCGACCUGAAGAAUGAGACCUUUAACUUGUUUGAUCAAGAAAAGGCCAAGCUGAGGGAGAAGUUAACAGCCUUACCAUGCCGUGUUUGCCUGAGUGCAUAUGUGUGGCACUACAGUCCACUGCAGGCAUUCUUGUGCUUGACUGUUCACUAUAUCGAUGACGAAUGGGAGAAGCAGAAAAAGAUCAUCAAAUUUAGCCCCGUGGAUCCCUCUUGCAGUGCAGAAGAACUAAGUCGUACCAUAUUGCGAGCUAUUGGAGAAUGGGGUCUUGAUGACAAGGUCUUCAGCAUCAUACUGGAUGACGCAUUCACUGAUGAUUCAGUGGCUUCAAAUGUCAAAACCGGUCUUCAGAAAAGGAACAAAGUUGCUGCAAACCGGAGCUUGUUUGUGGCACGUUACGCAACUCAUUUACUUGAUGAGGUUAUUCAGGUGGGGCUCGACGAACUUGACACUAUCAUGGAGGAUACCAGGAAGUGUUCCAGGAUGCAUCCGACCCCUUCACUAGCACAUUAUCGCAAGCGAAGAUACGCAUCAGCGGAUGAUUGGAAAAAAGCACAGAAAGUUUGCAAAUACUUGCAAGACUUCAAUAGAUACAAGGACUUGGUCCACAAAUCGCCUAGCCCAGAUAAAGUGUUUGACAAGGUGUGGAAUGUGAAGGAAAAGGUGCUUCGCAACACUGACAUUGAUAGGUUCAAGACACGCGCCGAAGUCUUUUUACGUGACAAGGAGGAGGAGGGAAUUUCCGUUAUGCGGCGGAAUAUGGAGAAGAAGUUCAAGAAAUGCUGGAAACUCUGCUUCUUGCAUUUUUGCAUGCCUAUGGUCAUGGAUCCUAAAUACCGUCUGGAACACAUCAAGUCACGCAUACAGCCCUUCACCGUGCCAAGUUCCUAUACCGUGGAUGGUGACAUAGAUGAUUUUAUUUGCGAGGUGCAUGAUGCACUGCUUAACCUCCAUGGUGAAUAUUCAGACCAGGCCCAAGAACCUGACUGCACUUCUUGGUCUAAAAUUAGGAUGGGAGAGUUCAUAGGUAGAGAUAUUCUGCAUGAGUUAUAUCUAUGUACCGAAUAUCCGUAUCGUCAGCGACCACUCACUGAACUUGAUGAUUACUUGCAAGAGGCGCAACUGCUUCCAGCAGGUCACUCCAGUGUGCUCCGAUGGUGGAAGGAACAUAGCCUCACCUAUCCUUCAAUUGGUCGGAUGUAUUGGCACUACCACGCCGUACUGACUGCAAGGUAG